GAUGAAGAACGCAGCGAAACGCGAUAAGUAAUGUGAAUUGCAGAAUUCAGUGAAUCAUCGAAUCUUUGAACGCACAUUGCGCCCGCCAGUAUUCUGGCGGGCAUGCCUGUUCGAGCGUCAUUUCAACCAUCAAGCCCCCGGCUUGUGUUGGGGACCUGCGGCUGCCGCAGGCCCUGAAAAGCAGUGGCGGGCUCGCUGUCACACCGAGCGUAGUAGCAUACAUCUCGCUCUGGGCGUGCUGCGGGUUCCGGCCGUUAAACCACCUUCAUAACCCAAGGUUGACCUCGGAUCAGGUAGGAAGACCCGCUGAACUUAAGCAUAUCAAUAAGCGGAGGA
This 336-nucleotide unclassified non-coding RNA is filed under the name soil metagenome. RNAcentral's name for it is "partial contains 5.8S ribosomal RNA, internal transcribed spacer 2, and large subunit ribosomal RNA". The stretch from base 1 to 120 matches the Rfam family "5.8S ribosomal RNA", at positions 35 to 154 of the family's 154-position model. The record is from RNAcentral.